UACGUAGGAGACGAGCGUUGUCCGGAGUUACUGGGCGUAAAGGGUGCGCAGGCGGUUUUGUAAGCCAGAUGUGAAAUCCCCGGGCUUAACCUGGGAAUGGCAUUUGGGACUGCAAGGCUUGAGUGCGGCAGAGGAGACUGGAAUUCCUGGUGUAGCAGUGAAAUGCGUAGAUAUCAGGAGGAACACCGAUGGCGAAGGCAGGUCUCUGGGCUGACACUGACGCUCAUGCACGAAAGCGUGGGGAGCAAACAGG
RNAcentral lists this ribosomal RNA (253 nucleotides) under uncultured bacterium. Its description in RNAcentral is "partial 16S ribosomal RNA". It matches the Rfam family "Bacterial small subunit ribosomal RNA", at positions 524 to 776 of the family's 1533-position model. The record is from RNAcentral.